AGUCGAGCGAGCUUGCCUAGAUGAAUUUGGUGCUUGCACCAGAUGAAACUAGAUACAAGCGAGCGGCGGACGGGUGAGUAACACGUGGGUAACCUGCCCAAGAGACUGGGAUAACACCUGGAAACAGAUGCUAAUACCGGAUAACAACACUAGACGCAUGUCUAGAAUUUAAAAGAUGGUUCUGCUAUCACUCUUGGAUGGACCUGCGGUGCAUUAGCUAGUUGGUAAGGUAACGGCUUACCAAGGCAAUGAUGCAUAGCCGAGUUGAGAGACUGAUCGGCCACAUUGGGACUGAGACACGGCCCAAACUCCUACGGGAGGCAGCAGUAGGGAAUCUUCCACAAUGGACGCAAGUCUGAUGGAGCAACGCCGCGUGAGUGAAGAAGGGUUUCGGCUCGUAAAGCUCUGUUGGUAGUGAAGAAAGAUAGAGGUAGUAACUGGCCUUUAUUUGACGGUAAUUACUUAGAAAGUCACGGCUAACUACGUGCCAGCAGCCGCGGUAAUACGUAGGUGGCAAGCGUUGUCCGGAUUUAUUGGGCGUAAAGCGAGUGCAGGCGGUUCAAUAAGUCUGAUGUGAAAGCCUUCGGCUCAACCGGAGAAUUGCAUCAGAAACUGUUGAACUUGAGUGCAGAAGAGGAGAGUGGAACUCCAUGUGUAGCGGUGGAAUGCGUAGAUAUAUGGAAGAACACCAGUGGCGAAGGCGGCUCUCUGGUCUGCAACUGACGCUGAGGCUCGAAAGCAUGGGUAGCGAACAGGAUUAGAUACCCUGGUAGUCCAUGCCGUAAACGAUGAGUGCUAAGUGUUGGGAGGUUUCCGCCUCUCAGUGCUGCAGCUAAC
RNAcentral lists this ribosomal RNA (837 nucleotides) under uncultured bacterium. Its description in RNAcentral is "bacterial SSU rRNA". It matches the Rfam family "Bacterial small subunit ribosomal RNA", at positions 60 to 856 of the family's 1533-position model. The record is from RNAcentral.